GUGAGGAAUAUUGGUCAAUGGGCGCAAGCCUGAACCAGCCAAGUAGCGUGCAGGAUGACGGCCCUAUGGGUUGUAAACUGCUUUUGUAUGGGGAUAAAGUGAUUUACGUGUAAAUUAUUGCAGGUACCAUACGAAUAAGGACCGGCUAAUUUCGUGCCAGCAGCCGCGGUAAUACGGAAGGUCCAGGCGUUAUCCGGAUUUAUUGGGUUUAAAGGGAGCGUAGGCCGUCAAUUAAGCGUGUUGUGAAAUGUAGAUGCUUAACAUCUGAAUUGCAGCGCGAACUGGUUGACUUGAGUAUGCAGGAAGUAGGCGGAAUUCGUGGUGUAGCGGUGAAAUGCUUAGAUAUCACGAAGAACUCCGAUUGCGAAGGCAGCUUACUGUAGCAUUACUGACGCUGAAGCUCGAAAGUGCGGGUAUCGAACAGGAUUAGAUACCCUUGUAGUCC
RNAcentral lists this ribosomal RNA (445 nucleotides) under uncultured bacterium. RNAcentral's name for it is "partial 16S ribosomal RNA". It matches the Rfam family "Bacterial small subunit ribosomal RNA", at positions 354 to 796 of the family's 1533-position model. The record is from RNAcentral.